This 392-nucleotide ribosomal RNA is filed under the name uncultured bacterium. Its description in RNAcentral is "bacterial SSU rRNA". It matches the Rfam family "Bacterial small subunit ribosomal RNA", at positions 28 to 417 of the family's 1533-position model. The record is from RNAcentral.
GACGAACGCUGGCGGCGUGCUUAACACAUGCAAGUCGAGCGGUAAGGCCCUUUCGGGGGUACGACGAGCGGCGAACGGGUGAGUAACACGUGGGUGACCUGCCCUCCAGCUCUGGGAUAAGCCUGGGAAACGUGGGUCGUAAUACCGGAUAUGACUCCAUGACGCAUGUUGUGGGGUGGAAAGCCUUGUGCGGCUGAGGAUGGGCCCGCGGCCUAUCAGCUUGUUGGUGGGGUGAUGGCCUACCAAGGCGACGACGGGUAGCCGGCCUGAGAGGGCGACCGGCCACACUGGGACUGAGACACGGCCCAGACUCCUACGGGAGGCAGCAGUGGGGAAUCUUGCGCAAUGGGCGAAAGCCUGACGCAGCGACGCCGCGUGAGGGAUGACGGCCU